Molecule: ribosomal RNA, 427 nt
Filed under: uncultured bacterium
Lineage: Bacteria
Description: bacterial SSU rRNA
Rfam family: Bacterial small subunit ribosomal RNA
Source: RNAcentral
GGAAUAUUGGUCAAUGGGCGCAAGCCUGAACCAGCCAUCCCGCGUGAAGGAAGAAGGCGCUAUGCGUUGUAAACUUCUUUUCCAGGGGAAUAAAAUUUUGUACGUGUACGGAAUUGAAGGUACCCUGGGAAUAAGCAUCGGCUAACUCCGUGCCAGCAGCCGCGGUAAUACGGAGGAUGCAAGCGUUAUCCGGAUUUAUUGGGUUUAAAGGGUGCGUAGGCGGAAUAGUAAGUCAGUGGUGAAACCCUGCAGCUUAACUGUAGACUUGCCAUUGAUACUGUUAUUCUUGAGUGUGGUCAAGGUAGGCGGAAUGUGUAAUGUAGCGGUGAAAUGCUUAGAUAUUACACAGAACACCGAUUGCGAAGGCAGCUUGCUGGACCAAUACUGACGCUGAUGCACGAAAGCGUGGGGAUCGAACAGGAUUAGA